Molecule: long non-coding RNA, 1575 nt
Organism: Pygoscelis adeliae (Adelie penguin)
Lineage: Eukaryota; Metazoa; Chordata; Aves; Sphenisciformes; Spheniscidae
Exons: 3
Source: RefSeq, a predicted model, not a curated record
ACUGCUCAUAUUACAGGGCAGCUAGAAGGUGGGGAGCGACUGAGAUCCACUUCCAUAAACAGCAGACAAGUAAAUAAUAUGAUGCAGAGGCUGCGGUGAGAUGGCCUGGGGACUUUGUGGGUGUGGAUCCCGUGAGGCGAGCAGAGCUGGUCAGAAUCGAGGGCUCUGCAGGGUGCCAGCCUCUCCCAGCUGAUGCAGGACACAGACGAUUUCUGCUGUGAUUUGGGAGCAUGUCUGUCUUGGGCAGAUUUCAUACGGAGAUCAAAACAAGGACUGAACAAGAUGCUUCAGACAGCACUGCUGAGGAAAAAGAAGAACAAAUGCUGUCCAAGACAGGAAAAGAAAAAGGAGAAAAAUAUAUUUCCUAUCAUCUUGUAACUGUUGACUAAAAGAGCUUACAUUUAAGGCCUGGCUUGUCAAGAAAUAUAGCAACAUCUGGUUUUGCAAAGCAUGCUGCAAGCCUUUGAAUAUAGACAAAGCAUAAAACUCCUACCCAUAUGACAAUCGGACUCCAUGUACAAAAUAACAAGGUUUUUUCAGACCAUAUGAGGUGUAUUACCAGUUACUUUACUGCCAAGAACUAUGAAGAAAGAUGCAGCAAAGAAUUUGCCACUGAAGAUGAUCGUUUGUCUAACUUUAUUCCUUGAAUCUUUUACUGGAACCUCCUUAAGCUCUGAUUUAGCAAGGCAGUGACUUCUCUUGAGACUUUGUCUGCUGCUGUUAUCCUCCCCAGCUGUCCACUCUGUCUCUACUGCAAGGCUGGGUAAAAUCAGUGAAGGUGAUUUUAGAGAGCCAUGAUGAUGCCUGUGGCCUUUGCAUACUUCUUUCAUGAAUAAUUGGGCUGUCCAUGUGCUGAGUGGGGAGGGAAGGUGGAAAUCUCUAAGCCUUUUCAGCUAUCGUAAGAGAUAAGAUCAUUGAAAUAAUCAAGGAUAAAUGCUGUCUGUGUACUGUUUUAAAGAUGUUGUGCCUAUUAAAUUUUCUCCUGAUCUUUUCUAAUUAUCUUUAAAUUUUAAUUUGGUAUUUCUAGGUAUGUUCUGAGGCAGAGGAACACAAGAAUUCUGUGGUGGAAAUAAAACCUGGAAGGAGGACACACCAAAUCAGCUCUGUUCCUGGAUGAUUGGGGGUAGCUUGUACUUCUGCCAAGGUACAAAGGAUACACUAAGUUUAAAGGUUUGCCAGCUAGGGCUCAGAAGAACUUUCUCAAGGGAAAAGAAAAAGUCUCCUGAAAAAAAACCUUCAGACAAUUCUCCUUUUCCCCCCUUCAUCUAAAGAAAAGUAGCUGAGGUGCGGUAAUAGCACAGUCUGACACAGCUGAGAGCGAGCCUGUGCACAGUAAUCAGAGGGAAAACACAGGGACCAGGAUUGUCUUUUAAUUUGCCCAUUGCCUGAGGAUGAAGGGAAGCUACUGUCAGUCACAAAGUGCAAAGGAAGAUAUUCUAGUGUGCUCGGGACUGCAAAAGGGGCUCUGUUAUCCCUCCAGUGAUCUAUGAGUAAUUUCUGACAUAAAACCUCCAAGUCACUUGCCAAGCCUAUUUGAGAGAGAACGGUAACAAACAUUUCUUCUAGGAGUUCUGG